CAGUAGCCGCGGUAAUACGAAGGGGGCUAGCGUUGUUCGGAUUUACUGGGCGUAAAGCGCACGUAGGCGGAUCGUUAAGUCGGGGGUGAAAUCCUGGAGCUCAACUCCAGAACUGCCUUCGAUACUGGCGAUCUUGAGUCCGGAAGAGGUGAGUGGAACUCCUAGUGUAGAGGUGGAAUUCGUAGAUAUUAGGAAGAACACCAGUGGCGAAGGCGGCUCACUGGUCCGAUACUGACGCUGAGGUGCGAAAGCGUGGGGAGCAAACAGGAUUAGAUACCCCAGUAGUCCCUGUCUCUUAUAC
This 301-nucleotide ribosomal RNA is filed under the name uncultured bacterium. Its description in RNAcentral is "partial 16S ribosomal RNA". It matches the Rfam family "Bacterial small subunit ribosomal RNA", at positions 509 to 807 of the family's 1533-position model. The record is from RNAcentral.